RNAcentral lists this ribosomal RNA (464 nucleotides) under uncultured bacterium. Its description in RNAcentral is "partial 16S ribosomal RNA". It matches the Rfam family "Bacterial small subunit ribosomal RNA", at positions 28 to 507 of the family's 1533-position model. The record is from RNAcentral.
GACGAACGCUGGCGGCGUGCUUAACACAUGCAAGUCGAACGGUAAGGCCCUUUCGGGGGUACACGAGUGGCGAACGGGUGAGUAACACGUGGGUGAUCUUCCCUGCACUUUGGGAUAAGCCUGGGAAACUGGGUCUAAUACCGGAUAGGACUACGCGAUGCAUGUCGUGUGGUGGAAAGCUUUUGCGGUAUGGGAUGGGCCCGCGGCCUAUCAGCUUGUUGGUGGGGUGAUGGCCUACCAAGGCGACGACGGGUAGCCGGCCUGGGAGGGUGUCCGGCCACACUGGGACUGAGGUACGGCCCAGACUCCUACGGGAGGCAGCAGUGGGGAAUAUUGCGCAAUAGGCGCAAGCCUGAUGCAGCGACGCCGCGUGCGGGAUGACGGCCUUCGGGUUAUAAACCCCUUUCAGCACAGACGAAGCGUAAGUGACGGUAUGUGCAGAAAAAGCACCGGCCAACUACGUG